GUACUUUUUAAAAUGCAUUAUGUGUCUUAUCGAAUAUCCAUAUACUUGUCUCUUUCUUUUUGGCAUUUACCCUCCAUUUAUGAAGAAAUGGUUGAAUUGUGCCUUGAAGACCACCUUAAUGAAAUUUAUAAGCUGGGGGAAAUGCUCUGGUUUCCCUUAAAAAUCUGUUUUAUUCUUAUUUUGGAAGUGGUUGGUGUUGAACUGUCUCAUGGUGAGACCUGUUUUCUGCCGAGAGUUCUAACGUGACUUUUCUCUUCUGUAGACGUGCAUGGAGGUGUUGGAAGCCUUGUGUGGUGGUAGCUUAGGAGACUGUAAAGAAGCUGCUGAAGCGUAUAGAGUGAGUUGUCAUAAGCUUUUCCCUUAUGCUCUGGCUUUCAUGCCUCCUGGAUAUGAAGAGGAUAUGAAGAUCACAGUUAACGGAGAUAGUUCUGCAGAAACGGAAGAACUGGCCAAUGAAAUUUGAACAUCAUUAAACAAGCAAACGGAAUGACUUUGGACCAUAUCUAGUGUAUAAUAUUUUUGUCACGCACCUGCUGCAUUGCUCUUACUUACACAGAAUGAGAGGAGUAAAUGUUCUUGCCUUC
This 584-nucleotide long non-coding RNA is filed under the name Rattus norvegicus (Norway rat). RNAcentral describes it as "long non-coding RNA NONRATT015274". Lineage: Eukaryota; Metazoa; Chordata; Mammalia; Rodentia; Muridae. The record is from RNAcentral.